RNAcentral lists this ribosomal RNA (450 nucleotides) under uncultured bacterium. RNAcentral describes it as "bacterial SSU rRNA". It matches the Rfam family "Bacterial small subunit ribosomal RNA", at positions 354 to 796 of the family's 1533-position model. The record is from RNAcentral.
GUGGGGAAUAUUGCACAAUGGGCGAAAGCCUGAUGCAGCGACGCCGCGUGGAGGAUGAAGGUUUUCGGAUUGUAAACUCCUGUUAAGUGGGAAGAAAGAACACGGGUUAAUACCCCGUGGAGAUGACGGUACCACUAGAGAAAGCACCGGCUAACUUCGUGCCAGCAGCCGCGGUAAUACGAGGGGUGCAAGCGUUAUUCGGAAUAACUGGGCGUAAAGAGCGCGUAGGCGGCUUGUUAAGUCUGUUGUUAAAUUACCUAGCUUAACUGGGAAGAGGCAAUAGAAACUGGCGAGCUAGAGGACAAGAGAGAGAAGUGGAAUUCUCGGAGUAGCGGUAAAAUGCGUAGAUCUCGAGAGGAACACCGAUGGCGAAGGCAGCUUCUUGGCUUGUAUCUGACGCUCAAGUGCGAAAGCGUGGGGAGCAAACAGGAUUAGAAACCCCAGUAGUCC